Transfer RNA from Nematocida parisii ERTm3, 95 nucleotides. It matches the Rfam family "tRNA". From Rfam's summary of the family: Transfer RNA (tRNA) molecules are approximately 80 nucleotides in length. Lineage: Eukaryota; Fungi; Microsporidia. The record is from Rfam.
CUCCUGAUAGCUCAGUUGGAAGAGCAUACGACUGUAGAAGUGGAAUUCCCAUUGGAGUUAUCGUAGGGUCGGUGGUUCGAAUCCAUCUCAGGAGA